CAAAGCCUUUAAAGAUCCUUCUUACGAGAUUGAAAUAUAAAAGGAAUUGACUUGUUGCCUUUCUCUAGAAGGCCCGAUGGACUCCUCUGGACUCAAAAUACUGAGUACGAAUGGAGAACUUAUGAGGGAUCAAUCACUGAAAAGACCCAAUGACCCUGAUCCAGAGGAUACAAGUAGGAAAGAACUGAAUUCCAAUGGAAUACUUGG
Molecule: unclassified non-coding RNA, 207 nt
Filed under: Hevea brasiliensis (rubber tree)
Lineage: Eukaryota; Viridiplantae; Streptophyta; Magnoliopsida; Malpighiales; Euphorbiaceae
Source: RNAcentral